This 301-nucleotide ribosomal RNA is filed under the name uncultured bacterium. RNAcentral describes it as "partial 16S ribosomal RNA". It matches the Rfam family "Bacterial small subunit ribosomal RNA", at positions 510 to 808 of the family's 1533-position model. The record is from RNAcentral.
AGCCGCCGCGGUAAUACAGAGGGUGCGAGCGUUAAUCGGAUUUACUGGGCGUAAAGCGUGCGUAGGCGGCUUCUUAAGUCGGAUGUGAAAUCCCUGAGCUUAACUUAGGAAUUGCAUUCGAUACUGGGAAGCUAGAGUAUGGGAGAGGAUGGUAGAAUUCCAGGUGUAGCGGUGAAAUGCGUAGAGAUCUGGAGGAAUACCGAUGGCGAAGGCAGCCAUCUGGCCUAAUACUGACGCUGAGGUACGAAAGCAUGGGGAGCAAACAGGAUUAGAUACCCCCGUAGUCCCUGUCUCUUAUACC